AGUCACUGACAUUAGAUACCCGCGUAGUCCAGGGUGUAAACGCUGCAGACUUGGUGUUGGAAGUCCUUUGGGGGCAUUCAGUGCCGGAGAGAAGUUGUUAAGUCUGCUACUUGGGGAGUACGUCCGCAAGGAUGAAACUUAAAGGAAUUGGCGGGGGAGCACCGCAACGGGAGGAGCGUGCGGUUUAAUUGGAUUCAACACCGUAAACUCACCAGGGAAGACUGUUACAUGAAGGCCGAGAUGAAGACUCUGCUAGAUUUUCAG
This 264-nucleotide ribosomal RNA is filed under the name uncultured archaeon. RNAcentral's name for it is "partial 16S ribosomal RNA". It matches the Rfam family "Archaeal small subunit ribosomal RNA", at positions 716 to 982 of the family's 1478-position model. The record is from RNAcentral.